This 560-nucleotide ribosomal RNA is filed under the name Escherichia coli. RNAcentral's name for it is "partial 23S ribosomal RNA". It matches the Rfam family "Bacterial large subunit ribosomal RNA", at positions 346 to 911 of the family's 2925-position model. Lineage: Bacteria; Pseudomonadati; Pseudomonadota; Gammaproteobacteria; Enterobacterales; Enterobacteriaceae. The record is from RNAcentral.
AAAGGCGCGCGAUACAGGGUGACAGCCCCGUACACAAAAAUGCACAUGCUGUGAGCUCGAUGAGUAGGGCGGGACACGUGGUAUCCUGUCUGAAUAUGGGGGGACCAUCCUCCAAGGCUAAAUACUCCUGACUGACCGAUAGUGAACCAGUACCGUGAGGGAAAGGCGAAAAGAACCCCGGCGAGGGGAGUGAAAAAGAACCUGAAACCGUGUACGUACAAGCAGUGGGAGCACGCUUAGGCGUGUGACUGCGUACCUUUUGUAUAAUGGGUCAGCGACUUAUAUUCUGUAGCAAGGUUAACCGAAUAGGGGAGCCGAAGGGAAACCGAGUCUUAACUGGGCGUUAAGUUGCAGGGUAUAGACCCGAAACCCGGUGAUCUAGCCAUGGGCAGGUUGAAGGUUGGGUAACACUAACUGGAGGACCGAACCGACUAAUGUUGAAAAAUUAGCGGAUGACUUGUGGCUGGGGGUGAAAGGCCAAUCAAACCGGGAGAUAGCUGGUUCUCCCCGAAAGCUAUUUAGGUAGCGCCUCGUGAAUUCAUCUCCGGGGGUAGAGCACU